GCUGGGUGUGGUGGCUCACGCCUGUAAUCCUAGCAACUCUGGAGGCUGAGGCAGGAGAAUCGCUUGAACCCAGGAGGCGGAGGUUGCAGUGAGCCGAGAUCGAGCCACUGCACUCCGGCCUGGGUGACAGAGCGAGACUCCAUCUCAA
This is an unclassified non-coding RNA of Pongo abelii (Sumatran orangutan), 148 nucleotides long. It matches the Rfam family "Metazoan signal recognition particle RNA". Rfam says of the family: The signal recognition particle (SRP) is a universally conserved ribonucleoprotein. It is involved in the co-translational targeting of proteins to membranes. The eukaryotic SRP consists of a 300-nucleotide 7S RNA and six proteins: SRPs 72, 68, 54, 19, 14, and 9. The record is from Ensembl. NCBI's taxonomy places the organism in Eukaryota, Metazoa, Chordata, Mammalia, Primates, Hominidae.